GGGGAUGCAUUGCAUCGACAAGAAUGUACGUUAAAAAACUGCAAGCCGACUUUGAUAACAGUCGUAAAAAAGAUCAAAUAAUAACUGCUAUUAAAACCAGCAGACGAGCACUCUUUGCAGAGGCAUACGCAAUUAUGUCCGAGCUUGGAAUGCUUAACCAAAGAGAACUCGCGUUAGCGAGAGCUUAAGGUUUGUUUAUAUCAUCUUUCUCAAUGGGACGGUAUAGGCAGAAACACAGUUGAGAAAUGGUAAGGAAGAUUGGUUUUUGUCCUUAUUUUAUUUAUUAAACCUUGAUUUUAUUCAUGUUUGUUGAUUGACAAAGAAUAAAAUGACUCUUAAAAAUCAACUAUGCUUGUAGAUGUUUUUUAUUGUCGCUCUUGGACUCCGAGUCACUCUCGGACAUCUCCACAC
RNAcentral lists this transfer-messenger RNA (411 nucleotides) under Patescibacteria group. RNAcentral's name for it is "GCA-016432345 sp016432345 Standard tmRNA". It matches the Rfam family "transfer-messenger RNA". Rfam says of the family: Bacterial tmRNA, also known as 10Sa RNA or SsrA, is named for its dual tRNA and mRNA-like properties. RNAcentral also lists the same sequence under 1 other name. The record is from RNAcentral.